This 235-nucleotide ribosomal RNA is filed under the name uncultured bacterium. RNAcentral describes it as "partial 16S ribosomal RNA". It matches the Rfam family "Bacterial small subunit ribosomal RNA", at positions 96 to 334 of the family's 1533-position model. The record is from RNAcentral.
CGGCGGACGGGUGAGUAAUGUAUGGGGAUCUGCCUGAUGGCGGGGGAUAACUACUGGAAACGGUAGCUAAUACCGCAUAAUGUCUACGGACCAAAGCGGGGGACCUCCGGGCCUCGCGCCAUCAGGUGAACCCAUAUGGGAUUAGCUUGUAGGUAAGGUAACGGCUUACCUAGGCGACGAUCCCUAGCUGGUCUGAGAGGAUGAUCAGCCACACUGGGACUGAGACACGGCCCAG